Molecule: ribosomal RNA, 253 nt
Filed under: uncultured bacterium
Lineage: Bacteria
Description: partial 16S ribosomal RNA
Rfam family: Bacterial small subunit ribosomal RNA
Source: RNAcentral
UACGUAGGGUGCGAGCGUUGUCCGGAAUUACUGGGCGUAAAGAGCUCGUAGGUGGUUUGUCGCGUUGUUCGUGAAAACUCACAGCUUAACUGUGGGCGUGCGAGCGAUACGGGCAGACUGGAGUACUGCAGGGGAGACUGGAAUUCCUGGUGUAGCGGUGGAAUGCGCAGAUAUCAGGAGGAACACCGGUGGCGAAGGCGGGUCUCUGGGCAGUAACUGACGCUGAGGAGCGAAAGCGUGGGGAGCGAACAGG